Molecule: ribosomal RNA, 433 nt
Filed under: uncultured bacterium
Lineage: Bacteria
Description: partial 16S ribosomal RNA
Rfam family: Bacterial small subunit ribosomal RNA
Source: RNAcentral
AAAGAAAGAGGGAGGCAUGCCUAACACAUGCAAGUCGAACGAGACCUUCGGGUCUAGUGGCGCACGGGUGCGUAACGCGUGGGAACCUGCCCUUAGGUUCGGAAUAACUCCCCGAAAGGGGUGCUAAUACCGGAUAAUGUCUUCGGACCAAAGAUUUAUCGCCUUUGGAUGGGCCCGCGUUGGAUUAGCUAGUUGGUAGGGUAAAAGCCUACCAAGGCGACGAUCCAUAGCUGGUCUGAGAGGAUGAUCAGCCACACUGGGACUGAGACACGGCCCAGACUCCUACGGGAGGCAGCAGUGGGGAAUAUUGGACAAUGGGCGAAAGCCUGAUCCAGCAAUGCCGCGUGAGUGAUGAAGGCCUUAGGGUUGUAAAGCUCUUUUACCCGGGAUGAUAAUGACAGUACCGGGAGAAUAAGCUCCGGCUAACUCCGUG